GACGAACGCUGGCGGCGUGCUUAACACAUGCAAGUCGAACGGAAAGGCCCUGCUUGCAGGGUACUCGAGUGGCGAACGGGUGAGUAACACGUGGGUGAUCUGCCCUGCACUUCGGGAUAAGCCUGGGAAACUGGGUCUAAUACCGGAUAGGAGCCAUUUUUAGUGUGAUGGUUGGAAAGUUUUUUCGGUGUAGGAUGAGCUCGCGGCCUAUCAGCUUGUUGGUGGGGUAAUGGCCUACCAAGGCGGCGACGGGUAGCCGGCCUGAGAGGGUGGACGGCCACAUUGGGACUGAGAUACGGUCCAGACUCCUACGGGAGGCAGCAGUGGGGAAUAUUGCACAAUGGGCGCAAGCCUGAUGCAGCGACGCCGCGUGGGGGAUGACGGCCUUCGGGUUGUAAACCCCUUUCGCUAGGGACGAAGCUUUUUGUGACGGUACCUAGAUAAGAAGCACCGGCUAACUACG
Molecule: ribosomal RNA, 463 nt
Filed under: uncultured bacterium
Lineage: Bacteria
Description: partial 16S ribosomal RNA
Rfam family: Bacterial small subunit ribosomal RNA
Source: RNAcentral